CCAGUUGACCGGGUGGCCGCGCUCCAGUGGGUAACCGCUGGAGGGAGGAAAGUCCGGGCUCCAUUGAAACACGGUGCCGGGUAACGCCCGGCGGGGGCGACCCCAGGGAAAGUGCCACAGAAAGCAAACCGCUCCGGUUCGCCGGAGUAAGGGUGAAAGGGUGCGGUAAGAGCGCACCGCGGGACGGGCAACCGGACCGGCACGGUAAACCCCACCGGGAGCAAGACCAAAUAGGGAUGACGCGGGGCUUGCCCCAGCCGGUUUCAAGGCCAGAUCAUCCGGGUUGGUUGCACAAGGCGUCUGGCAACAGGCGUCACAGAUGAAUGGUCGCCACGUAUUGCGCUCCGGUGCGAUGCCCUACAGAACCCGGCUUACAGGUCAACUGGCACU
RNAcentral lists this RNase P RNA (390 nucleotides) under Devosia algicola. RNAcentral's name for it is "Devosia sp. G20-9 RNase P RNA component class A". It matches the Rfam family "Bacterial RNase P class A". Rfam says of the family: Ribonuclease P (RNase P) is a ubiquitous endoribonuclease, found in archaea, bacteria and eukarya as well as chloroplasts and mitochondria. Its best characterised activity is the generation of mature 5'-ends of tRNAs by cleaving the 5'-leader elements of precursor-tRNAs. The record is from RNAcentral. Lineage: Bacteria; Pseudomonadati; Pseudomonadota; Alphaproteobacteria; Hyphomicrobiales; Devosiaceae.